This 492-nucleotide ribosomal RNA is filed under the name uncultured bacterium. RNAcentral's name for it is "partial 16S ribosomal RNA". It matches the Rfam family "Bacterial small subunit ribosomal RNA", at positions 29 to 507 of the family's 1533-position model. The record is from RNAcentral.
AGUGAACGCUGGCGGUAGGCCUAACACAUGCAAGUCGAACGGCAGCACAGUAAGAGCUUGCUCUUACGGGUGGCGAGUGGCGGACGGGUGAGGAAUACAUCGGAAUCUACUUUUUCGUGGGGGAUAACGUAGGGAAACUUACGCUAAUACCGCAUACGCCCUACGGGUGAAAGCAGGGGAUCUUCGGACCUUGCGCGAUUGAAUGAGCCGAUGUCGGAUUAGCUAGUUGGCGGGGUAAAGGCCCACCAAGGCGACGAUCCGUAGCUGGUCUGAGAGGAUGAUCAGCCACACUGGAACGGAAACACGGGCCAGAGUCCUACGGGAGGAAGCAGUGGGGCAUAGUGGACAAUGGGCGCAAGCCUGAUACAGCCAUACCGCGUGGGUGAAGAAGGCCUUCGGGUUGUAAAGCCCUUUUGUUGGGAAAGAAAAGCAGCAGGUUAAUACCCCGCUGUUCUGACGGUACCCAAAGAAUAAGCACGGGCUAACUUCGUG